Molecule: ribosomal RNA, 465 nt
Filed under: Vreelandella stevensii
Lineage: Bacteria; Pseudomonadati; Pseudomonadota; Gammaproteobacteria; Oceanospirillales; Halomonadaceae
Description: partial 16S ribosomal RNA
Rfam family: Bacterial small subunit ribosomal RNA
Source: RNAcentral
CCUACGGGGGGCAGCAGUGGGGAAUAUUGGACAAUGGGGGCAACCCUGAUCCAGCCAUGCCGCGUGUGUGAAGAAGGCCCUCGGGUUGUAAAGCACUUUCAGUGAGGAAGAACGCCUGGUGGUUAAUACCCAUCAGGAAAGACAUCACUCACAGAAGAAGCACCGGCUAACUCCGUGCCAGCAGCCGCGGUAAUACGGAGGGUGCGAGCGUUAAUCGGAAUUACUGGGCGUAAAGCGCGCGUAGGUGGCUUGAUAAGCCGGUUGUGAAAGCCCCGGGCUCAACCUGGGAACGGCAUCCGGAACUGUCAAGCUAGAGUGCAGGAGAGGUAGGUAGAAUUCCCGGUGUAGCGGUGAAAUGCGUAGAGAUCGGGAGGAAUACCAGUGGCGAAGGCGGCCUUCUGGACUGACACUGACACUGAGGUGCGAAAGCGUGGGUAGCAAACAGGAUUAGAUACCCUUGUAGUC